Long non-coding RNA from Drosophila yakuba, 1744 nucleotides. RefSeq lists it as uncharacterized. The record is from RefSeq and is a predicted model, not a curated record. The transcript is spliced from 4 exons. Lineage: Eukaryota; Metazoa; Arthropoda; Insecta; Diptera; Drosophilidae.
UUGAUUGGUGCAAAUAAAACAUUUUAUGGUUGAAAAACUUAAUUAUAAUCACAACUUUUUGAUUAUGACAUGAUUUAUAUGACAAUUUUUUUUGUAUUGUAAUUUUUUUAUAGCUGUGAAUUGUAUUCAGUGUCAGAAUAUAUGAAAAGUAAAGUAAAAGAAACAAAUAAAACUCACGUAAAUUGUUUUCAUAGACUCUGGUCUUCUUUCUUGUAAUAUUGUCAUGCUAGUGGUUACGUGAGAAAUUCGAAGGACACGUCAAAUCGAUGAGCUCCCAGUAAAUAAGGGAUACAUUGUAUAUUAUCUGGUAUACUUAAAUUAAAUUUAUUUUAAAUAAGACGUGUUGCCAAUGUAAUGAAAAUGUGAUAAAAUUUUUUUUAAGUUAAGUUUUAGUUUCUAGUGACACCUACUGUGUUUCAGAGUUUCAAAUAGCCAAACACUUCUGUGGAAUCUCUGUCUCUGGAAUCUGCAUGACUCCUAUCAAUCUUUUAGCUUUUAUAGUUCCUGAGAUCUCGACGUUCAUACGGACGGGGAGACGUACAUGUCCAGAUAGACACCGCUAUUGAUCCUGAUCAAGCAUAUAUAAACUUUAUAUGGUGGGAAAAUCUUCCUUCUACCUUUUACAUACUUUUCAACUAAUCUAGUAUACCCUUUUACUCUACCAGUAACGGGCAUACAAAUGUUUGUUUUACUUUUAAUUUUUUAAUAGGUUUUUCUAUAACAUUUUCGCCGCGCCCACUUCAACGCCUACCAGCCGACCAAAACUGUCACCACCACAGUAUUAAACAAGAGAGAACGCUAUAGUCGAGUUCCCCGACUAUCAGAUACCCCAAACUCAGCUAGUGGGAGGGCGAAUGAAAAAGUUCAACAAUCAUGUUGAUAGAUUUUAAUAGAAAUUGGAAACAUAUUUCAAAAGUGUUGGUAGGUGUGGCCCCAACUUAUUUUUGGAUAUUGAUGGAAGUUAAAAGACAAAUAAUAAUAUGAAAUACGAGAGAGCGCUAUAGUCGAGUUCCCCCACUAACCCCAACCAGAUACCAGUUUUAACUGGCUUGUGGACGUUAGAGUGGACAUGGCAAACAGUUUCGACAAAUCGUCAAAAAUUUAUAAGACUAACAAAAUUUUAGUCAAAUUUUCCAAAACAUUUUCCUUGUGGGCGUUAGAGUGGGCGUGGCCACGUGCGUCAACAAACGUAGGCGCAGCGUCUAUGUCUCUGGAAUCUACAUGCUUAAUUUUUCAGCUUGUAUAGUUCCUGAGUCCUCAAAGUUCAUACGGACGGACAGUCCGAGGACCGAUAUUGCUAGAUCGACAUGGCGAAUGAUCCUAAUGAAGAAUAUAUGUUAAUACUUUAUACGAUCGGAAGCGCUUUAUGUCGGGUCUCGCAGACGUCAAAAAUUCCAAAAUUGAUUAUUUAUCAGCUGCGUGAGAAUCUAAGCUCUCCCCCAUCGCUCUCUCUCUCUCUUACUAUUACUCUACCAAGCAAUUCUACAUAAACAGACGCCGUGGACAUUGCAAUUAAUUUGGUACUGCUCAGCGCCAGAAUUAUUUGUUUUUUACGAUCCCCAUCAAAUCCGGGAUUCGCCAAGAAAAUGGGUUUUGUCCAGAAAACAGCGUGUCGGAACAACAACUGCAGGGACCGAACGACAUCGGCAGAAUAGCAGAAGUUCAAGUGGCUACAACAAUGUAUGAUUUUAAGCCCGGCAACAGUGCCCUGCACGUAUUUCCGUUGCAUAUAUGCUGAAACCAC